GGAAAUUUUACUGUUUUUGGUUAUUAUCUUGAAAAUUAUUAAAGAUAGAAAUAAACUGUAAACAGCAAUAAUGUUCAGCAAAGUAAGAUUUACAAAUAAGUCAACAUGACCGAAAUGGUCAGUUGACCCAUAUAGGAGUUAUUGUCCUUUAUAGUCAAUUUUUAACCAUUUUUCGUAAAUCUUAGUAAUCUUUUACAAAAAUCUUCUCCUCUGAAACUACUGGGCCAAAUUGAUCCAAACUUAUCCACAAUCAUCUUUUGGGUAUCUAGUUUCAAAAAUGUGUCCGAUGACCCGGCCAUCCAACCAAGAUGGCCGCCAUGGCUAAAAAUAGAAGAUAGGGGUAAAAUGCAGUUUUUGGCUUAUAACUCAAAAACCAAAGCCUUUAGAGCAAAUCUGACAGGGGGAUAAAUCGGACAACCCGUUGUUGGGUUCCUGCCCCUGAAUUGGUAAUUUUAAGGAAAUUUUACUGUUUUUGGUUAUUAUCUUGAAAAUUAUUAUAGAUAGAAAUAAACUGUAAACAGCAAUAAUGUUCAGCAAAGUAAGAUUUACAAAUAAGUCAACAUGACCGAAAUGGUCAAUUGACCCCCUAAGGAGUUAUUGUCCUUUAUAGUCAAUUUUCAACAAUUUUUAUAAAAUUUGUAAAUUUUUACUAACAUUUUCCACUGAAACUACUGGGCCAACUUCAUUAUAGAUAGAGAUAAUUGUAAGCUGCAAGGAUGUUCAGUAAAGUAAGAUGUACAAACACAUCACCAUCACCAAAAUACAAUUUUGUCAUGAAUCCAUCUGCUUCCUUUGUUUAAUAGUCACAUAGACCAAGGUGAGCGACACAGGCUCUUUAGAGCCUCUAGUUUAGUCUUAAUAUUGAUGUGUUCAGCUUUUUUUUACUAUAUUUUUGUUAAAGGAUAUUGUUAUGGUGUUUACCUAAGAGAAUUGGUGUAAUCAUUUAUUAACAUCAUGUACAUUGAAUAUUAUUUAUGUGUUUAGCUUUUUAUGCUAUACCGGUAUUUUAUUCUAUGAUAUUGUAAAG
RNAcentral lists this long non-coding RNA (1027 nucleotides) under Mytilus galloprovincialis (Mediterranean mussel). Lineage: Eukaryota; Metazoa; Mollusca; Bivalvia; Mytilida; Mytilidae. The record is from RNAcentral.